This 83-nucleotide transfer RNA is filed under the name Felis catus (domestic cat). It matches the Rfam family "tRNA". Rfam says of the family: Transfer RNA (tRNA) molecules are approximately 80 nucleotides in length. Their secondary structure includes four short double-helical elements and three loops (D, anti-codon, and T loops). Further hydrogen bonds mediate the characteristic L-shaped molecular structure. tRNAs have two regions of fundamental functional importance: the anti-codon, which is responsible for specific mRNA codon recognition, and the 3' end, to which the tRNAs corresponding amino acid is attached (by aminoacyl-tRNA synthetases). tRNAs cope with the degeneracy of the genetic code in two manners: having more than one tRNA (with a specific anti-codon) for a particular amino acid; and 'wobble' base-pairing, i.e. permitting non-standard base-pairing at the 3rd anti-codon position. The record is from Rfam by way of RNAcentral. Lineage: Eukaryota; Metazoa; Chordata; Mammalia; Carnivora; Felidae. RNAcentral also lists the same sequence under 2 other names.
GCUCAGUUGGUUAAGUACACAACUCCUGAUUUAGGCUCAGGUCAUGAACUCACGAUUCAUGGGUUCGAGCCCCACAUUGGGCU